GGAUUCUUGUCGGAGUGCCUAGCGUCGGCUUUUAACAGCAAACGCAGGCUGAGACCGUUAAUUCGGGAUCCGCGGAACCUGAUCGGGUUAGUACCCGCGAAGGGAACAAGAGUAAUUUAUCG
This 122-nucleotide non-coding RNA is filed under the name Yersinia mollaretii. RNAcentral's name for it is "TPP sequence". It matches the Rfam family "TPP riboswitch aptamer (THI element)". From Rfam's summary of the family: Vitamin B(1) in its active form thiamin pyrophosphate (TPP) is an essential coenzyme that is synthesised by coupling of pyrimidine and thiazole moieties in bacteria. The previously detected thiamin-regulatory element, thi box was extended, resulting in a new, highly conserved RNA secondary structure, the THI element, which is widely distributed in eubacteria and also occurs in some archaea. Lineage: Bacteria; Pseudomonadati; Pseudomonadota; Gammaproteobacteria; Enterobacterales; Yersiniaceae. The record is from RNAcentral.